GAUUUUCUCCUAUGUUAUCUUUUGGAGUUUUGUAGUUUUGCAUUUUGCAUUUAGGUCUAUGAUUGAUUUUGAGUUAAUUUUUCCAAAAGGUGCAAAGUUUGUGUCUACAUUCAUUUUUUUGCUUGUGAAUAUCCAGUUGCUCCAGCACCAUUUGUUGAAAAGACUAUACUUUCUCCACUCAGUUACUUUUGUUCCUUUGUCAAAGAUCACUUGACUAACUUUGUGUGGGCCUAUUUUUGGGCUCCGUUCUGUUCCGUUGAUCCUUUUGUCUAUUCUUUCACCAGUAUCACACUGUCUUGAUUAUUAUAGCUUUGUAUUAAGUAUUGAAGUCAUGUAGUAUCAGUCUUCCAGCUUUGUUCUUCUUUAGAAGCUGUUUUUAAUUGAGUUGUUUGUCUUUAUUGUUGAAUUGCAAGAUUUCUUUAUAUAUUCUGGAUACUAGACCCUUAGCCAGAUGUAUGAUAUACAGUUAUUUUCUCUAAUUUUUGUUGUCUUUUCUCUUUCUAGAUGAUGUUCUCUGAAGCACAUAAGUUUUUAAUUUUGAUGAAGUCCAGUGUAUCUGUUUUUUUCUUUGGUUGUUUCUGUUUUUGAUAGGAUAUCAAAACUAAGCCAAGGUCAUAAAUAUUUACUCCUAUGUAACUUCUAAAAAUUCUAUACAUUUAAUGUUCACCAGGAUGAGAAUGGUGAUGUGGCUUUUGUCUCACUAGGAUGAGAAUGGUGCCUUGGUCUCAUGGAAAAGCCUGGGGAAAGGCUGUUGCUGUGAAUGUGGUGGAUUCUCUACUUGUGCCUGUGCAGGACAAGGACAUGGAGCCACUUGGCCAACUAUGAGGCCGGAACACAUGAUGUCAAUGAAGAAGAAGAGGAUCUUGUCAAGAUGGUGGCGUAAGCAGACUCUUAACUCAUCUCCUCCCUCGAACACAGUCAGGUUACAACCAUUUUGGGAAAAAUUACUCUGGAUAGAAAACGGAAAACUGGAUAAAAAGAACCCCCACAACAAGGGACAGUCCUGACUCGAGCAGAAGAGGCAGAAAUUCCUGCUGGAGAGGAAAAAAGCCAACUUUGGGAGCAGCGGAGCUUCUCGGCUGGCCAGGCAGGAGCCACCCUAAGAAUCCACUAUCCUCUACGGAGACAGACACCGUCAAGGACAAGCACCUGGACUAUCUCCUCCUGCAAAGAGGACACAAUUGGAAACACUGGUUAUGUUACCAAGGCUUUGACUGGAACAUCAUGUUUGAAAAAACAUACAGGCUUGGAUAUAAUAAAACAGCUUUUGAGGAAUGAAGGUUGACAUUCUGGAAUAAAGCCACUUAGAAAUAUUGGCCUGAUACUGUGUUUAUGGAUUCUGUAACCUGAAAAACUUCUUAUUAAAUACCUGGUUACUUACUUACAUGAUACAGGCCUACUUUCAGGAACCCACCAGCAUCACUGCCUUAUUAAAAGACUGAUUCAAUAAGAUGAAACAACCUAUGCCCCAUUUCAGCAGGAAGUAGCUAGAUCAGUCACCGCCUCAAAUCCCUCAAGAUUGAGGGAUGGACAUAAAAUAGGGGGGAGUUGAUACCGACCCUGAUAUCAGUUUCCCCACACUAAACCCAGCAUAUAUGGGGUUAAAACCAAAACACUCAUUCCCUUCUUACUCUCUGGCUUCCUGGCUCCAGAAUCCACUAUCCUCCAUGGAGACAGACACUGUCAAGGACAAGCACCUGGACUAUCUCCUCCCGCAAAGAGACAGCACAUUCCUAAGCUAUUUUAACUCAUCAGUUCAGAAAUUCUGGAGUGCCUAUUCUCAGUUCUUGAGGCCUGGAUCCUUUUUCUUCCAGAGAAUCAGACCCAGACAUCAGCGACUAGAGGGUUUUCCUCUGUUUAAAAAAAUCUAUGAGAAGGCUCUCAUUGGAUCAGCUUGGGGCAGGUACAUUCCCUUGAACCAAUUAACUGUGGACGGGGGACAAGGUCACACGAUAACCUGGCAGCCUGGAAGCAGGAAGCAAGGAGCAGAGGCAGCAACUAGAAGCACACAAUUGGAAAUACUGGUUGUAUUACCAAGGCUUUGAUGGAAAUGUCAUAUUUGAGAGAGACAUGCAUAAACUAAGAUAUGACCAAACAGCUUUAAGGAACUAAAGUUGACCCUAUGAAGCCAACAAAGCCCUUUGGAAAACAGCCUGGUACCUUACUUAUAGGAUUCCUAACAGCCUGCCCAGG
Equus asinus (donkey) is the source of this 2193-nucleotide long non-coding RNA. NCBI's taxonomy places the organism in Eukaryota, Metazoa, Chordata, Mammalia, Perissodactyla, Equidae. The record is from Ensembl.